RNAcentral lists this ribosomal RNA (253 nucleotides) under uncultured bacterium. RNAcentral's name for it is "partial 16S ribosomal RNA". It matches the Rfam family "Bacterial small subunit ribosomal RNA", at positions 524 to 776 of the family's 1533-position model. The record is from RNAcentral.
UACAGAGGGUGCAAGCGUUAAUCGGAGUUACUGGGCGUAAAGGGCGCGUAGGCGGUUAUGUAAGUGAGAUGUGAAAGCCCUGGGCUUAACCUAGGAACUGCAUCUUAUACUGCAUAACUGGAGUACUGUAGAGGGUAGUGGAAUUUCCGGUGUAGCGGUGAAGUGCGUAGAGAUCGGAAGGAACACCAGUGGCGAAGGCGGCUCGCUGGGCCGGUCCUGACACUGAGGCGCGAAGGCGUGGGGAGCGAACGGG